Molecule: ribosomal RNA, 253 nt
Filed under: uncultured bacterium
Lineage: Bacteria
Description: partial 16S ribosomal RNA
Rfam family: Bacterial small subunit ribosomal RNA
Source: RNAcentral
UACGUAGGGUGCAAGCGUUGCCCGGAAUUAUUGGGCGUAAAGGGCUCGUAGGCGGUUUGUCGCGUCUGCUGUGAAAACUCGGGGCUUAACCCCGGGCCUGCAGUGGGUACGGGCGGACUAGAGUUCGGUAGGGGAGACUGGAAUUCCUGGUGUAGCGGUGAAAUGCGCAGAUAUCAGGAGGAACACCGGUGGCGAAGGCGGGUCUCUGGGCAGUAACUGACGCUGAGGAGCGAAAGCGUGGGGAGCGAACAGG